AUAUCAAUAAGCGGAGGAAAAGAAACCAACAGGGAUUACCCUAGUAACGGCGAGUGAAGCGGUAACAGCUCAAAUUUGAAAUCUGGCCUUCACAGGUCCGAGUUGUAAUUUGUAGAGGAAGUUUCGGGCAAGGCUGCGGUUUUAAGUUUCUUGGAACAGAACGUCAUAGAGGGUGAGAAUCCCGUCUAGAACCGAUGGCCGAGUUCAUGUGAAACUCCUUCGACGAGUCGAGUUGUUUGGGAAUGCAGCUCAAAAUGGGUGGUAAAUUUCAUCUAAAGCUAAAUAUUGGCCAGAGACCGAUAGCGCACAAGUAGAGUGAUCGAAAGAUGAAAAGCACUUUGAAAAGAGAGUUAAACAGUAUGUGAAAUUGUUGAAAGGGAAGCGCUUGCAACCAGACUUGUGUAUCUUGGUUCCCCCGCUCUUCUGACCGGGUUACUCCAUGAUAUCCAGGCUAGCAUCGGUUCGGGUGGUUGGUUAAAGGUUCUGGGAAUGUAUCUACCUUCGGGUCGACUUAUAGCCCAGGGCGUAAUGCAGCCUGCCUGGACCGAGGAACGCGCUUUUUGCUCGGAUGCUGGCGUAAUGGUUGUAAGCGG
RNAcentral lists this ribosomal RNA (593 nucleotides) under uncultured fungus. Its description in RNAcentral is "eukaryotic LSU rRNA". It matches the Rfam family "Eukaryotic large subunit ribosomal RNA", at positions 40 to 647 of the family's 3401-position model. Lineage: Eukaryota; Fungi. The record is from RNAcentral.